GAGUUUUUUAUGCAGGAAUAUAGUUGUUUAAACUCCAAAUAUGUGGUUGAUUUCUCACGAGAGAGCUGAUUUAAAAAAUUGCUACGAUGUUUUCGGAGAUGUGAGGUCCCGCCCGCUAACGGGCCCGGCUGUCAUCAAGUCCGUUGCUGUUCCAAUUGCUGAAUGACUGACUGCGUGCUCCCGUUCCUAGGAGUUUGUACUCCCGAGCCGAACUUGCCAAGUCCUAGCUUUAAAGUACAGAAGUUUGAACAUGGCGAACUUGGCAUUGAGAAACAGCCCACGUUUUCAGAAAAUUCAAGAUGGCUACCUGAUGCGAGGGAGACGAAUUAACGGAGCAUUUAACAAAAGUUUAUUCCAAUAUUUAUUCGCAGCGCUGUGAAAGAACUGUUUUUGUGUUCUUUAACUUAUAUUUUACAAACGUGUGUACUAUGGCAGGACCGCUUCAGGAUGUAGAGGCAGUUUGGUGCUUUACUGUUAUGCAAACGUUAACGGACGUUAGCUCCAAAGUAACGUUGUGUCUGAGCUUUCGCCUGACAGUCGGCAGAGAAUGCACUUUGGUCUUGUGAGUGAAAAAGUUUAUCUAAUUUUGGCUCUGUUGUCAGGUUACGUUUACAGAAAGGCUAACGUUAAUUAGAAGUAAGCUAGCUCACAUUGAGGUAAGGUUAACUUUGCACUGUUGUCAUCUGCUGUCAGUCAGUUAACUGUGGAGACAGUCAACCUCUGCGUUUGUUUAUAAGCUGUUCCUGAAAUAGUGUUGAUGCAUGGCUAAAAGUUUAGUUUUAUUAGCUGUGAACCUAAUGAUUCUCCUCAGCCCUUCUAUUGCAGAAACUAGUUGCUUCGUCUGAAGUGGCUGUAACGUUAAUAUGUAUUUGUAAAGGAGUAUUUUUCCACUGUGGUAAUGAAACCUUUUAACUGGUGAAGAAUGCUCAGUUUUCAUUGAAACUAUUUUAUCAUUUGUUCAUUUUGGAAGAUGUUUGUGGUAACCUUACGUUGACAUGAGUUGCAUUAUUAUAGGGCUGAAACGAUUUAUCGAUUAAAUCAAUAACAUCGAUUAAUAAAAUGCUGAAGAGAGGAAAGAGAGAGGAAAUAGCGAGGGACAAAGAAGAAAGUGUCCAAAGUAUCGGAUUAUUUCAAAUUAAAGAAAACAACAACUCUGUAAUGUUACCAUCCGUCCACCUUAAAACAAAACUGAUGUCGCCUCGGCAACCUGAUCAGAAACCAGCUGGUGUUCUGCCAGUGGACCACAGACAAGGAUUAAGUAUUGAGUGACACAACAGCUAUCCAAGGUGUUUUCUGAGUUCCAUUGUCAUCAUUACUAAUGUUGAAGCUAUAGAGCCAAUUCAAUUGUGAGCUUGACACCACAGCUGAUUGUCCUGUCCAGAUGGAGGGCCUCACAGAUGGGCAAGACGGCAGAGGCACUGCGGAGAUCCUAGGAUUUAUGACCUCCAGAUCCUGAGCAGCUGAUUGGGCGUCGUUAUCCAGUGAGAGUCUGCGUUCUUGGAAUUCCUAAAGAUGGUGUCGGGCAGCCAGAUCAAGCCGACCAUAUUGCUGGUUGAAUAAGAGGCAGACAAAGAGAAGAGACACAGCGAGCGAGCGAGAGAGAGAGAGAGAAGGGGGCAGAAGCAGCUACUCACUCCAAGGACAAGCUGCAGCAAGCCAUCUGCACCGCUGAGAGGGACAUUAGCUGCAAUCACCCAACAACUGGGAAACUGUACUCCUUUGUACACAGCAGCUCCAGUAAAUUAUAAAGUCUAUCCACCCCCAACCCAAAAGAAAAGUCCUUGGCUAACCACUGGUGAUUUCGCUGGAGUGGAGUGGACAUGGGAGACACAGAUCGAUUAAAUGGUUAGAGCUCACAGGGAUGGGAAAUGUGUCAGCAAUGAUCCAGACCCAGCUUGGUCUUAUUACCACCCAAUGCUCUUCACUUUGGAAUCAGCCCACCGCUUUAAAGCUCUACAUGAUUGCUUGGCCGUUCCUUUGUGGUUUCUCAUUAACUCAUGAAUGCUGAAGGAAUGAAAGCUCCACAACCUCUCUUUGGAAAUGAAUUAAACAUUUUUGAAAAGCUA
Long non-coding RNA from Micropterus dolomieu (smallmouth bass), 2066 nucleotides. RefSeq lists it as uncharacterized. NCBI's taxonomy places the organism in Eukaryota, Metazoa, Chordata, Actinopteri, Centrarchiformes, Centrarchidae. The transcript is spliced from 6 exons. The record is from RefSeq and is a predicted model, not a curated record.